This 453-nucleotide ribosomal RNA is filed under the name uncultured Porphyromonadaceae bacterium. RNAcentral describes it as "partial 16S ribosomal RNA". It matches the Rfam family "Bacterial small subunit ribosomal RNA", at positions 341 to 792 of the family's 1533-position model. The record is from RNAcentral. Lineage: Bacteria; Pseudomonadati; Bacteroidota; Bacteroidia; Bacteroidales; Porphyromonadaceae.
ACGGGAGGCAGCAGUGAGGAAUAUUGGUCAAUGGGCGGAAGCCUGAACCAGCCAAGUCGCGUGAGGGAGGAAGGUCCUACGGAUUGUAAACCUCUUUAGCCGGGGAGCAAUAAGCGCUACGUGUAGCGUGAUGCGAGUACCCGGAGAAUAAGGAUCGGCUAACUCCGUGCCAGCAGCCGCGGUAAUACGGAGGAUCCGAGCGUUAUCCGGAUUUAUUGGGUUUAAAGGGUGCGCAGGCGGUCGAUUAAGUCAGUGGUCAAAGCGUGGGGCUCAACUCCAUCCCGCCAUUGAUACUGGUUGACUUGAUUCCGGUCGAGGCAGGCGGAAUUCGCGGUGUAGCGGUGAAAUGCAUAGAUAUCGCGAAGAACUCCGAUUGCGUAGGCAGCUUACCAGGCCGGCAAUGACGCUCAUGCACGAAAGUGCGGGGAUCGAACAGGAUUAGAUACCCUGGUA